UACAGAGACUGCAAGCGUUAUUCGGAUUCACUGGGCGUAAAGGGCGCGCAGGCGGCCAGGUGUGUUAGGCGUGAAAGCCCGGGGCUUAACCCCGGAAUUGCACCUAAAACUACUUGGCUAGAGCAUUGGAGAGGGGAGCAGAAUUCAUGGUGUAGCAGUGAAAUGCGUAGAUAUCAUGAGGAAUACCAGAGGCGAAGGCGGCUCCCUGGACAAUUGCUGACACUCAGGCACGAAAGCGUGGGGAGCAAAAGGG
RNAcentral lists this ribosomal RNA (253 nucleotides) under uncultured bacterium. Its description in RNAcentral is "partial 16S ribosomal RNA". It matches the Rfam family "Bacterial small subunit ribosomal RNA", at positions 524 to 776 of the family's 1533-position model. The record is from RNAcentral.